UUCUUUGAUCGAAGUAAAAAAAAAAAACCCACAAUUUCAGAACAAAUGUCUAAUUAUAGUCCGUUAGUUUGUAUCUGAAGUUGCUCGAGGCAUAAGGCAGUAGCUUCAAAACGGAGACCCGACUCUGUGACUGUAUGGCGGAUUACUGAAAUCUGAAUGACGUUGGCGGACGUUAAAAAGGCGAAACAAAACUAUAGAGUUGAAAGACGCAUUAAUCACCGUCCAGUACUAAGUGUAGUAGCUGUAUGCUAGCUAGCGCGCUUGUUCA
Molecule: non-coding RNA, 268 nt
Organism: Biomphalaria pfeifferi
Lineage: Eukaryota; Metazoa; Mollusca; Gastropoda; Planorbidae
Source: the annotation of a GenBank genome assembly